This 460-nucleotide ribosomal RNA is filed under the name uncultured bacterium. Its description in RNAcentral is "partial 16S ribosomal RNA". It matches the Rfam family "Bacterial small subunit ribosomal RNA", at positions 338 to 795 of the family's 1533-position model. The record is from RNAcentral.
CCUACGGGUGACAGCAGUGAGGAAUAUUUGUCAAUGGACGGAAGUCUGAACCAGCCAUGCCGCGUGCAGGAAGACGGCUCUAUGAGUUGUAAACUGCUUUUGUAUAAGGGUAAACCUGAAUACGUGUAUUCAGCUGAAAGUACUGUACGAAUAAGGAUCGGCUAACUCCGGGCCAGCAGCCGCGGUAAUACGGAGGUGCCAAGCGUUAUCCGGAUUUAUUGGGUUUAAAGGGUGCGUAGGCGGAUUGAUAAGUUAGAGGUGAAAUGUCCGAGCUUAACUCGGGAACUGCCUCUAAUACUGUUGAUCUAGAGAGUAGGUGCGGUAGGCGGAAUGUAUGGUGGAGCGGUGAAAUGCUUAGAGAUCGUACAGAACACCGAUUGCGAAGGCAGCUUACCAAACUAUAUCUGACGUUGAGGCACGAAGGCGAGGGGAGCGAACGGGAUUAGAUACCCUUGUAGUC